UGGUGGUUCAGUGGUAGAAUUCUCGCCU
RNAcentral lists this non-coding RNA (28 nucleotides) under Gallus gallus (chicken). Lineage: Eukaryota; Metazoa; Chordata; Aves; Galliformes; Phasianidae. The record is from RNAcentral. RNAcentral also lists the same sequence under 8 other names.